GUAGAAGCUGGAAGUCAGCGUUAAUGGUUACUUCUACGUUUCUCAAUGAUUUAUAACUUAUUUUUUCAUUUGUGAUGAUGUUAUUUUCUGGAUUUAUCAUUUUAGAGAAACAAGUCACAUUAAAAUGAUAUGAUUGAGUUAUAAAUAAAACGUGGUUGAGGUUUGUUGGUAUGAUUGUUUAUUCAUGCCACGUUUUGGUCAUUGAGAAACAUGAUUGUUAUUCAAUAGGAAAAACAAAACGUGGUGGUGCCUGGCAUAUAAACAAUCACGUAUGAUAAAAGAGAUAUUGAUUUUGUCAUCUCAACUUUAAGAAUACAUGAGUUAACUAUAGUAUUUUGAAAGUUAUGAGUAAUGAGUUAAAAUGUAAUGAAUCUUUGUUCCAAUAACACCAUAAUUUAAUAGAAUUAACAAAUCAGAAAAUACUCAACUUUUUGAAUAACAAAAGAUUUAUAUGAAAUUUUAAAAUCACCAAAGCAAUAACACAAGACUUUUUCGGAAUCUAAGAAUCAUGUUACCAAUAACAAUAGAAUCUUUAAAUUCUUCAACUCCUUCAAAAUCCAUCUCCCACU
RNAcentral lists this long non-coding RNA (569 nucleotides) under Brassica napus (rape). RNAcentral describes it as "long non-coding RNA (BNAP_LNC025992)". Lineage: Eukaryota; Viridiplantae; Streptophyta; Magnoliopsida; Brassicales; Brassicaceae. The record is from RNAcentral.